GCUUAAAAAAACCCAGCACGCAGUAACAGCCUCACAUGGAAGUGCAGCUUGAUUUAUGAAAGGUAAAUUAUAGAAUCCAGACUUGCAAGAUACUGAGUGCCUUUUAUGAAAUGCAGGCAGCUGAAGGGAUCACUGUGCCACUACCAGCAUGACUGAGAUGGCGGCAAGAGAGUCCCACUGGAGUACCUUGCAAGGAUAGGGAGCUGCACCCUGCUGGUGCAGUUAUGGAUGGUGAGUUAUGGAUUUCCACAGGGAGAGAGGACCAGCAUGCAGACAAAGUUGGGGUGAGAGAACCCAGAACUGUCAUUCCUUGGGCCAGAGGGACAAAGAUGUGUCAAAGAGGGGUUCCUACCCCGGUGAAUAAUCAAUGCAAUGUCAUGGAUGGCAGCUAUAGAAGAGUAAGCGGCCUCCUACAGUUCCAGCUGAAGAAAGAAUGACAGAAUUUGGGCCUGCUGAGGUGCUGUAAAUACAGCAUUCAGGUAUCAUGAGACUGAAGCACUUUCCUUCCUUAAUAAGAAGACUGGAAAAGUCUGCCUACCAGGCAGAGAGGAGGCAAACAUUCAGCUGCCUCAUGUGAUCAGUCUUCCAAUCCUUAACUAUCCCCUACUGACCAGACAAGAAGCCUACUCUGAUGUUGGCUGCAAAGACAACUGGCCAGCAGCAGCUAUCUCUACAGAGCUGAAAUGUGCCAAAUACUGGUCAGUCUAUGGACAAGUUUAAAUAAAAAGGAGCAUUGAAAAUAAACUAAAAUAAUAAAAUGAUGAUAGCAUCAGCAGGCUUGUUUUUCACCUUUUCUUAAGUCUGAACCUUUAGACUUUUUUUUCCUCAUUACUACUAUUUUAAAAAACGGAGUGUCACAUUU
This is a long non-coding RNA of Caretta caretta (loggerhead turtle), 862 nucleotides long. RefSeq lists it as uncharacterized. NCBI's taxonomy places the organism in Eukaryota, Metazoa, Chordata, Testudines, Cheloniidae. The record is from RefSeq and is a predicted model, not a curated record.